AUGCUUCCUUUUGGACUCACAUCUGGUUCCCUUUCCUGCACCCUUAACUUAUGGCUCUGCCUCCACGGCAUCACUGAGUGAGGCCCGCCCUUGCUCAGGAUGGCUCAGAGCAGCACGGUUCUGUUUGCUUUGGUAGCUCCUGAAGUGUUUUGAGCUCUGCACGGACAGCGUGUAGCGGAUGCGGAAAGCCUGUGCUGAGUGCUUCCUGGCUGUGGCCCACGACAUGUCCCCUGAGGUCUGCAGGGCCAGACUCUGGCCCCUUUUCAUCACACUGAUCAGUGACCCCUGCCGAUGGGUGCUCCAGGCUGCCUUCCAGUCCCUGGGCCCCUUCAUCUCCACCUUUGCCAACCCCUCCAGGGCUGGCCUUUAUAUUCAGGAAGAUGGUACUUUCAACAUCUGACCACUGGCUCUGGGUUUGGACUCGGACAUCAGCCUGGGCUACCGGAUGCAGGCGGCUGUGGGGACUCAGCCUCCGCCUGAUGACGGGUACACCCUAAGCAGAUCAUUCGAGAUGGUUCACUAGCAUCUCUCCAGUGUUAAUGUUACUCAGCAGUGUGAGAGGAGCUCAAGUUCAGGGAUUAUCAGCUACACGGAGAGCUGCCCAGCUUAACUCUGUGAACAAGGUCCAGCACCAGCCAAGAGAAGGGCCAAGUGAAGUGUCCGUGCCAGGUCCCAUCCCUGCCCCUGACAGCCAGGGCCCCCGGCUGACCCCACCACGGUGGGGCGAGCUCUCCGCAGCCAGGAUAUUAGCAAGCAUGGUUGUGGCAAUUCUGCAGAAGUUCUGUUCAAACAGUGAAAGUGCACCGGGGUUCAGUUUAAUCAUGAACUCAUCCUACGGUUCCGGCACUGUUCUAAGUGGGUCGGAAGGCAAACAUUUGCUUUCAUUUGUCAGGUUAGCAGGGGCCCCAGGGGAGCAUCCAGCACGAGCAUACGUUUCCUGUGUGACGUCAACGCACAGCACCAGGCAAAGGAUCCCAGCCCUGGAGGACUAG
This 992-nucleotide long non-coding RNA is filed under the name Capra hircus (goat). RNAcentral describes it as "lncRNA (ENSCHIG00000002134.1)". The record is from RNAcentral. Lineage: Eukaryota; Metazoa; Chordata; Mammalia; Artiodactyla; Bovidae.